CAAGAAACAACACUUCUGUAGCUUGUCAACUAUGUGUCUGUCUAUCCCUGUUCUCUCCCCUCUGCACAGGCCAUACAAACGCUUCACACCGCGUGGCCGCUGCCACUCUAACCUGGUGGUCCCAGCGCGCACGACCCACGUGGAGUUCCAGGUCUCCGGCAGCCUCUGGAACUGCAGGUUCCCUUGGAGAGUUCAUCAAUGAGCUUGACGCCUUGAUAAGUUCCUUUCCUGAGGAUGGCUCACCUCUCACAGUUCUGGAUGAAAUCUCGCGUCUUGUGACGGCCGGCCGCCCAACAACCUGCCCACUUGACCCUAUCCCCUCCUCUCUUCUCCAGACCAUUUCCGGAGACCUUCUCCCCUACCUCACCUCGCUCAUCAACUCAUCCUUGACCGCUGGCUACGUCCCUUCCGUCUUCAAGAGAGCGAGAGUUGCACCCCUUCUGAAAAAACCUACACUCGAUCCCUCCGAUGUCAACAACUACAGACCA
RNAcentral lists this long non-coding RNA (488 nucleotides) under Salmo salar (Atlantic salmon). Its description in RNAcentral is "lncRNA (ENSSSAG00000108055.1)". The record is from RNAcentral. Lineage: Eukaryota; Metazoa; Chordata; Actinopteri; Salmoniformes; Salmonidae.